RNAcentral lists this ribosomal RNA (398 nucleotides) under uncultured bacterium. RNAcentral describes it as "bacterial SSU rRNA". It matches the Rfam family "Bacterial small subunit ribosomal RNA", at positions 28 to 438 of the family's 1533-position model. The record is from RNAcentral.
GAUGAACGCUAGCGGCAGGCCUAAUACGUGCAAGUCAAGGGGCCAGCAAUGGCACCGGCGCACGGGUGCGUAACACGUACACAACAUACCUUUAAGUGGGAGAUAGCAUCGGGAAACUGGUGGUAAUACCCCAUAAUAUUGCGAUGCGGCAUCACAUUGCAAUUAAAGUUUCGACGCUUAAAGAUUGGUGUGCGUCCGAUUAGCUAGUUGGUGAGGUAACGGCUCACCAAGACUACGAUCAGUAGGGGUACUGAGAGGUUAAACCCCCACACUGGUACUGAGACACGGACCAGACUCCUACGGGAGGCAGCAGUAAGGAAUAUUGGACAAUGGCCGCAAGGCUGAUCCAGCCAUGCCGCGUGCAGGAAGACGGACCUAUGGUUUGUAAACUGCUUUUG